This 324-nucleotide ribosomal RNA is filed under the name uncultured eukaryote. RNAcentral's name for it is "partial 18S ribosomal RNA". It matches the Rfam family "Eukaryotic small subunit ribosomal RNA", at positions 1470 to 1796 of the family's 1831-position model. The record is from RNAcentral.
CCCUUAGAUGUCCUGGGCCGCACGCGCGCUACACUGAUGCAUUCAACGAGUUUCACCUUGGCCGAGAGGCCUGGCAAUCUUUUAAACCUGCGUCGUGAUAGGGAUAGAUUAUUGCAAUUAUUAAUCUUGAACGAGGAAUUCCUAGUAAACGCAAAUCAUCAAUUUGCAUUGAUUACGUCCCUGCCCUUUGUACACACCGCCCGUCGCACCUACCGAUUGAAUGGUCCGGUGAAGCCUCGGGAUUGUGGCCAGUUCACUUUAUUGGGAGUUGGCUGUGAGAACUUGUCUAAACCUUACCAUUUAGAGGAAGGUGAAGUCGUAACA